Molecule: long non-coding RNA, 961 nt
Filed under: Lynx pardinus (Iberian lynx)
Lineage: Eukaryota; Metazoa; Chordata; Mammalia; Carnivora; Felidae
Source: RNAcentral
GGUCAGCCCAGUGUGGUCCCCCAAAACUGUAGAUCUCCUAGACGGUGGGAAUGGUUAAGAGCUUGAAACCGCCCUGGCGUGACGCAGUGCUCCUCACCCUACUUCCCCUGUUCCUCCGGGGUACAGGGUCCCUGUCCGAAGGCCGGGCCAGGGAAGCUGGGAGCCCGGGCGUUGCUUUGGGAGGAGGGCAGAAGGAAGACGCAAGAGCCUGUUGGGUCUUCCCUCCGCCAGCUGCCCACAGAGCUCCGGAACCUCCCCAAAGAGGGGCUGGAAGGGAGUCCCAGGCGGGAGAGGCCUCGAGUCGCCCCGCGGUAGGCUCACAGGUCCCGCGGGUCUUCCCGCUUGACCCCGGCCUCGGCAACUUUGAGCUUCUUAUUCUGGUGCGUCUUGACGUGCUUGGCGAGGUGGUCGCUGCGCAUGAAGCGCUUCCCGCACUCUGGGCAGGCGAAGCGCUUCUCGCCGGUGUGAGUCCGCAGGUGCCGCUGCAGCUCAUCCGAGCGCGUGAAGCUCUUGCCGCAAAAGAGCCAGUUGCACACGAAGGGCCGCUCGCCCGUGUGCCAGCGCAGGUGCGCCUUGAGGUGCGACGUCUUGCCGUACACCUUGCCGCAGCCCGGCACGUGGCAUACGUGCUGCUUCUUCUUGCCCGGCUCUGCCUCGGGGGCGCCGCCAGCCGCCUGGCAGUUGGGGCAGCGGCAGCGGCGGCACCUCCUGGCCGUGGCCGCCAGGGGGGCCUUGGUCUGCAGCAGCGCAGCGAUCUGGCUCUGGUACUGCGCAAAGUCCGACGGGCCCAACACCAGGCCCCGCUGCAGGGCGGCGGCGGCGGCGGCCGCGGCGGCGGCGGCCGCUGAGGCGGGGAAGCGAGGUGCAUGCGGGCCCCCGGCGCAGGCGCCGGAGAGGCCGCCCCCCGGAACGCCGGAGGUCCCCGGACCGGUGCCCGCCUGCGGGAUACUCCACCACGGGA